This 72-nucleotide transfer RNA is filed under the name Loxodonta africana (African savanna elephant). It matches the Rfam family "tRNA". Rfam says of the family: Transfer RNA (tRNA) molecules are approximately 80 nucleotides in length. Their secondary structure includes four short double-helical elements and three loops (D, anti-codon, and T loops). Lineage: Eukaryota; Metazoa; Chordata; Mammalia; Proboscidea; Elephantidae. The record is from Rfam by way of RNAcentral.
GCAGUGGUGGUUCAGUGGUAGAAUUCUCCUCUUGCGUGUGGGGAGACCCUGGUUUAAUUCCAGGCCAAUGCA